GGGAUAACUAUUGGAAACGAUAGCUAAUACCGCAUAAUAGUAGAUGUUGCAUGACAUUUGCUUAAAAGGUGCAAUUGCAUCACUACCAGAUGGACCUGCGUUGUAUUAGCUAGUUGGUGAGGUAACGGCUCACCAAGGCGACGAUACAUAGCCGACCUGAGAGGGUGAUCGGCCACACUGGGACUGAGACACGGCCCAG
RNAcentral lists this ribosomal RNA (199 nucleotides) under uncultured Streptococcaceae bacterium. RNAcentral describes it as "partial 16S ribosomal RNA". It matches the Rfam family "Bacterial small subunit ribosomal RNA", at positions 140 to 334 of the family's 1533-position model. Lineage: Bacteria; Bacillati; Bacillota; Bacilli; Lactobacillales; Streptococcaceae. The record is from RNAcentral.